UGCAGUCGAACGGCAGCACGGAGCUUGCUCUGGUGGCGAGUGGCGAACGGGUGAGUAAUAUAUCGGAACGUACCCUAGAGUGGGGGAUAACGUAGCGAAAGUUACGCUAAUACCGCAUACGAUCUAAGGAUGAAAGUGGGGGAUCGCAAGACCUCAUGCUCGUGGAGCGGCCGAUAUCUGAUUAGCUAGUUGGUAGGGUAAAAGCCUACCAAGGCAUCGAUCAGUAGCUGGUCUGAGAGGACGACUAGCCACACUGGAACUGAGACACGGUCCAGACUCCUACGGGAGGCAGCAGUGGGGAAUUUUGGACAAUGGGCGAAAGCCUGAUCCAGCAAUGCCGCGUGAGUGAAGAAGGCCUUCGGGUUGUAAAGCUCUUUUGUCAGGGAAGAAACGGUGAAAGCUAAUAUCUUUUGCUAAUGACGGUACCUGAAGAAUAAGCACCGGCUAACUACGUGCCAGCAGCCGCGGUAAUACGUAGGGUGCAAGCGUUAAUCGGAAUUACUGGGCGUAAAGCGUGCGCAGGCGGUUUUGUAAGUCUGAUGUGAAAUCCCCGGGCUCAACCUGGGAAUUGCAUUGGAGACUGCAAGGCUAGAAUCUGGCAGAGGGGGGUAGAAUUCCACGUGUAGCAGUGAAAUGCGUAGAUAUGUGGAGGAACACCGAUGGCGAAGGCAGCCCCCUGGGUCAAGAUUGACGCUCAUGCACGAAAGCGUGGGGAGCAAACAGGAUUAGAUACCCUGGUAGUCCACGCCCU
RNAcentral lists this ribosomal RNA (751 nucleotides) under uncultured bacterium. Its description in RNAcentral is "bacterial SSU rRNA". It matches the Rfam family "Bacterial small subunit ribosomal RNA", at positions 56 to 803 of the family's 1533-position model. The record is from RNAcentral.